RNAcentral lists this long non-coding RNA (776 nucleotides) under Polistes fuscatus (common paper wasp). Its description in RNAcentral is "uncharacterized LOC122517667". The record is from RNAcentral. Lineage: Eukaryota; Metazoa; Arthropoda; Insecta; Hymenoptera; Vespidae.
AGCAAGUUCGGAUGAAAAAGAUAAAAAUAAGGAAAAAAGUAUAGAUGAUAAAGAUGAAAAUAAUGAAGGAAGUUCGGAUGAAAAAACUAACAAUUUAGAUAACUCGAACAACGAAGAAAGUAAAUUAUCUAACGAAACGAUGCAACUUAGUUCGAACGAUUGUGCAGAAAAAUCAGACGAUAAAAAAACAUAAUUAAUUAAUAUAAUAUAUCGAGAACCCUUAAAACAAUCAAUAUGGAAAAUAUAUCUUCGUAAGAAUGAAAUAAAAAUUAUUUUGAUUACGAUCUAUUCUAAGAAUAGUUCAUUGAGAUAGCAAUAAUGAUGGAAUAUCGUUUUUCAUCGAUAUCAUAUCAACGGGUUGACAGAGUUUUAUUCGCAGUUUUAUUAACGAAAAACCUCGCGUGUUAUAACACGGAUGCUUUUUAACAAGAGUUCCCUUCGUUACGUAACUUCUAGGCAGUCAACUCUGAUGCUCGUUAAACUGUUAAUGACUAUAUCACCAUUUUAAUUCUAUCUUCCCAUGUGCGAAUUAUUUACGCAUCAUGUUCGUCUCGUGGUUUGCUAAAAGUUGCUCUACGAAUAGUUCUAACUGGUUUACACUUAUUGCUACUGGGAUAAUCACCAAAAGUUGUAAUACAGUUUCUCAGUUAAGAAUCAACGACUUGUCGGAACGAGAUUCAAAAAAAAAUUGGGAACGUCUGUUGAACUAUUUUCUAUGUUUCCUAACAUUGGAAGAAAGAGCAAUAUGCAUAAAUAUAAAUACAUAAAUAUAUUAG